UAGUGAGGAUGAGAUAGAGAGAGGGGAUGAGAGAGGAGAGGAUGGGAGGGAGGAGUAACAAAAGUAAAAACAAAAACUUGAAAGUGAAAACAAUUUAAAAUAGAUUUCAGUUUUUAAUUUUUGUCUUCACUUUUGUUACUCCUCCCUCCCAUCCUUCACUCUCAUAUUCCCUCACAAUCUCAUCUCCACUCU
RNAcentral lists this small nucleolar RNA (192 nucleotides) under Prunus dulcis (almond). Its description in RNAcentral is "sRNA ncRNA". Lineage: Eukaryota; Viridiplantae; Streptophyta; Magnoliopsida; Rosales; Rosaceae. The record is from RNAcentral.